This is a non-coding RNA of Rhodocollybia butyracea, 92 nucleotides long. Lineage: Eukaryota; Fungi; Basidiomycota; Agaricomycetes; Agaricales; Omphalotaceae. The record is from the annotation of a GenBank genome assembly.
AGCAGCAUGGCGCAGUGGUAGCGCGCGGGGCCCAUAUAGAACCAUAUCUGGUUGUCACCCCGAGGUCACUUGAUCGAAACAAGUUGCUGCUA